GUACGGAAUCGCAUUUGUCGUUAUAAUAGCGACGCGGUCGGUAGCAUAACGAAACUUGUCGUUAUGAGUCCAUAACGACAGCAUAACGAGUUACAGAAUCGCGCUACAGGUCUCCAGAUCUGAAGAGCACA
This 131-nucleotide long non-coding RNA is filed under the name Neodiprion lecontei (redheaded pine sawfly). Its description in RNAcentral is "uncharacterized LOC124293729, transcript variant X3". Lineage: Eukaryota; Metazoa; Arthropoda; Insecta; Hymenoptera; Diprionidae. The record is from RNAcentral.